CCUACGGGGGGCUGCAGUGGGGAAUAUUGGACAAUGGGGGCAACCCUGAUCCAGCCGUGCCGCGUGUGUGAAGAAGGCCCUCGGGUUGUAAAGCACUUUCAGUGAGGAAGAACGCCUGGUGGUUAAUACCCAUCAGGAAAGACAUCACUCACAGAAGAAGCACCGGCUAACUCCGUGCCAGCAGCCGCGGUAAUACGGAGGGUGCGAGCGUUAAUCGGAAUUACUGGGCGUAAAGCGCGCGUAGGUGGCUUGAUAAGCCGGUUGUGAAAGCCCCGGGCUCAACCUGGGAACGGCAUCCGGAACUGUCAAGCUAGAGUGCAGGAGAGGAAGGUAGAAUUCCCGGUGUAGCGGUGAAAUGCGUAGAGAUCGGGAGGAAUAACAGUGGCGAAGGCGGCCUUCUGGACUGACACUGACACUGAGGUGCGAAAGCGUGGGUAGCAAACAGGAUUAGAUACCCCUGUAGUC
Molecule: ribosomal RNA, 465 nt
Filed under: Vreelandella stevensii
Lineage: Bacteria; Pseudomonadati; Pseudomonadota; Gammaproteobacteria; Oceanospirillales; Halomonadaceae
Description: partial 16S ribosomal RNA
Rfam family: Bacterial small subunit ribosomal RNA
Source: RNAcentral